RNAcentral lists this ribosomal RNA (2621 nucleotides) under fermentation metagenome. RNAcentral describes it as "bacterial LSU rRNA". It matches the Rfam family "Bacterial large subunit ribosomal RNA", at positions 14 to 2641 of the family's 2925-position model. The record is from RNAcentral.
AGGGCUAAUGGUGGAUGCCUAGACUGUAAGAGGCGAUGAAAGACGUAUUAGGCUGCGAUAAGCCUCGGGGAGCUGCCAAAGAGCUUUGAUCCGGGGAUUUCUGAAUGGGGCAACCCAAUAUAAUGAGAAUUAUAUUACCCUACGGGGAGCGAACCUAGUGAAGUGAAACAUCUCAGUAGCUAGAGGAAGAGAAAUCAAACGAGAUUCCCAAAGUAGCGGCGAGCGAAAUGGGAUUAGGACAAACCCAAUGCUUGCAUUGGGGGUUGUAGGACCAUGAUAUGAGACUAAAGAGGAUAGAUGAAAUACUUGGAAAAGUGUAGCAUAGAAGGUGAAACUCCUGUAAUUAAAAUUCUCAAUAGCUCUAAUGGUAUCCUGAGUAGGUCGGAACACGUGAUAUUUUGACUGAAGCCGGGGGGACCACCCUCCAAUCCUAAAUACUACUUACAGAUCGAUAGUGAACAAGUACCGUGAGGGAAAGGUGAAAAGUACUCCAGCGAGGAGAGUGAAAUAGAACCUGAAACCAUUAGCUUACAAUCAUUCAGAGCCCUAUGAUUUAUCAGGGUGAUGGACUGCCUUUUGCAUAAUGAGCCUGCGAGUUGUGGUAUCUGGCAAGGUUAAGUCAAGUACGAAGCCGUAGCGAAAGCGAGUCUUAAUAGGGCGAAUUAGUCAGAUGCUGCAGACCCGAAACGAAGUGAUCUAUCCAUGAGCAGGUUGAAGCUGGUGUAAGAGCCAGUGGAGGACCGAACCCGCAGGCGUUGAAAAGUCUUGGGAUGACUUGUGGAUAGGGGUGAAAGGCCAAUCAAACUUCGUGAUAGCUGGUUCUCUCCGAAAUAUAUUUAGGUAUAGCCUUGUGUUGUAGCAUAUGGGGGUAGAGCACUGAAUGGGCUAGGGCUGCUUACCGCGGUACCAAACCCUAUCAAACUAUGAAUACUAUAUGUGGAAUCACAGGAGUCAGGCGGUGGGUGAUAAAAUCAAUCGUCGAGAGGGGAACAACCCAGACUAACAGCUAAGGUCCCUAAGUUACAUCUAAGUGGAAAACGAUGUGGAGUUACUGUGACAACCAGGAGGUUGGCUUAGAAGCAGCCAUCCUUUAAAGAAAGCGUAACAGCUCACUGGUCUAGUGUUUUUGCGCCGAAGAUAUAGCGGGGCUAAGCAUACCACCGAAGCCGCGGACUAGUACGAUAAGUGCUAGUGGUAGAGGAGCAUUCUGCACAGCGUUGAAGCGUAAGCGGCAAGCUUAUGUGGAGCGUGUUGAAGAGAUAAUGCAGGCAUUAGUAGCGAUAAAAAGGGUGAGAAACCCUUUCGCCGAAAAUCUAAGGUUUCCACCGGCAGGGUAAUCCGCGGUGGGUUAGUCGGCCCCUAAGGCGAGGGAGAAAUCCGUAGUCGAUGGGAAACAGGUGAAUAUUCCUGUACCUGUAAUAUGUUCGUUUGACGAAGUGGUGACGGAGAAGGUUAGGCAGUCCAGGUGUUGGACGUCCUGGUUUAAGGUUGUAGGGAGUACUGGUAGGCAAAUCCGCUGGUACAAUUCUGAGAGCUGAUGACGAGUCUUUGUAAUGAAGACGAAGCUGUUGAUACCACGCUUCCGAGAAAAACCUCUAAGGAGAACAUAACAGACCGUACCGUAAACCGACACAGGUAGAUAGGGAGAGAAUCCCAAGGCGUUCGAGAUAACUCUAGUUAAGGAACUCGGCAAAAUGCCACCGUAACUUAGGGAUAAGGUGGGCUCCUAGUAAUUGAAAAGACUUGCUCUUGUAGGUGAACGGAGUUGCAGAUGAGAGGCCCAGGCGACUGUUUAUCAAAAACAUAGCACUCUGCUAACUGGCAACAGGAUGUAUAGGGUGUGACGCCUGCCCGGUGCUGGAAGGUUAACAGGAGAUGUCAGCGUAAGCGAAGCAUUGAAUCGAAGCCCCAGUAAACGGCGGCCGUAACUAUAACGGUCCUAAGGUAGCGAAAUUCCUUGUCGGGUAAGUUCCGACCUGCACGAAUGGUGUAACGAUCUGGGCACUGUCUCAACCGUGAGCUCGGUGAAAUUGUAGUAUCGGUGAAGAUGCCGAUUACCCGCGAUGGGACGAAAAGACCCCGUGAACCUUUACUAUAGCUUAUCAUUGAAUUUGGGCACGUGAUGUGUAGGAUAGGUCGGAGGCCUUGAAGCAGGUACGCCAGUAUUUGUGGAGCCGUUGUUGAAAUACGACCCUUCAUUUGUUUGAGUUCUAACUUCCUUGAUGGAAGGACACUGAUUGGUGGGUAGUUUGACUGGGGUGGUCGCCUCCAAAAGAGUAACGGAGGCUUCUAAAGGUUCCCUCAGCACGCUUGGUAACCGUGCGUAGAGUGCAAUGGCAUAAGGGAGCUUGACUGAGAGACAUACAGGUCGAUCAGGUACGAAAGUAGAGCAUAGUGAUCCGGUGGUUCCGCAUGGAAGGGCCAUCGCUCAAAGGAUAAAAGGUACGCCGGGGAUAACAGGCUGAUCUCCCCCAAGAGCUCACAUCGACGGGGAGGUUUGGCACCUCGAUGUCGGCUCAUCGCAUCCUGGGGCUGUAGUCGGUCCCAAGGGUAUGGCUGUUCGCCAUUUAAAGCGGUACGCGAGCUGGGUUCAGAACGUCGUGAGACAGUUCGGUCCCUAU